This 371-nucleotide ribosomal RNA is filed under the name uncultured bacterium. Its description in RNAcentral is "bacterial SSU rRNA". It matches the Rfam family "Bacterial small subunit ribosomal RNA", at positions 525 to 896 of the family's 1533-position model. The record is from RNAcentral.
ACGAACCAUGCAAACGUUAUUCGGAUUCACUGGGCUUAAAGCGUGCGUAGGCGGCGAUGUUAGUCAGGUGUGAAAGCCCUCAGCCCAACUGAGGAAUUGCGCUUGAUACUGCAUCGCUAGAGAAUGAUAGAGGUGGGUGGAACUGAUGGUGGAGCGGUGAAAUGCGUUGAUAUCAUCAGGAACACCAGUGGCGAAGGCGACCCACUGGGUCAUUUCUGACGCUGAGGUACGAAAGCUAGGGUAGCGAACGGGAUUAGAUACCCCGGUAGUCCUAGCCGUAAACGAUGAGCACUAGGUCGAGGGCCUCCACAGGCUCUUGGCCGUAGCGAAAGUGUUAAGUGCUCCGCCUGGGGAGUAUGGUCGCAAGGCUG